RNAcentral lists this ribosomal RNA (422 nucleotides) under uncultured bacterium. RNAcentral describes it as "bacterial SSU rRNA". It matches the Rfam family "Bacterial small subunit ribosomal RNA", at positions 355 to 774 of the family's 1533-position model. The record is from RNAcentral.
UAAGGAAUAUUGGUCAAUGGACGCAAGUCUGAACCAGCCAUGCCGCGUGGAGGAUGAAGGUCCUCUGGAUUGUAAACUUCUUUUAUCUGGGACGAAACACUUCUUUUCUAAGAGGCCUGACGGUACCAGAUGAAUAAGCACCGGCUAACUCCGUGCCAGCAGCCGCGGUAAUACGGAGGGUGCAAGCGUUAUCCGGAUUCACUGGGUUUAAAGGGUGCGUAGGUGGGUAUGUAAGUCAGAGGUGAAAUCCCCGAGCUUAACUUGGGAACUGCCUUCGAUACUAUAUAUCUUGAAUGCCGUAGAGGUAAGCGGAAUAUGUCAUGUAGCGGUGAAAUGCUUAGAUAUGACAUGGAACACCAAUUGCGAAGGCAGCUUACUAUGCGGUUAUUGACACUGAGGCACGAAAGCGUGGGUAGCAAACA